The sequence is a ribosomal RNA, 2944 nucleotides long. It matches the Rfam family "Bacterial large subunit ribosomal RNA". The record is from Rfam.
UCGAAAGUAAGAAAGGGCGGAUGGUGGAUGCCUAGGCUCAUUCAGGCGAAGAAGGACGUGAUAAGCUGCGAUAAGCCGCGGUGAGGUGCAAAUGACCCUUGACCCGCGGAUAUCCGAAUGGGACAACCCAAGUUUUCGGACUUACCGGUCGUUAUAGGACCGGGGCUAACGGAGGGAACUGAAACAUCUUAGUACCUCCAGGAAGAGAAAAUAAGUUAAUGAUUCCCCCAGUAGUGGCGAGCGAGCGGGGAAGAGCCCAAACCGGUGAUGUGUCACCGCAUCAUUGGGGUAGUAGGACCGCGCCAUUGUACUCUAAGGGUGAGGAGAAGCUGCUGGAAAGCGGCGUCAUAGAAGGUGAUAAUCCUGUAUCCGAAGCUUAAGGGAGGCAUAGCGGUAUCCUGAGUAACGCGGAGCACGAGGAAUUCUGCGUGAAUCUGCCGGGACCAUCCGGCAAGGCUAAAUACUCGAAUGAGACCGAUAGUGAACCAGUACCGUGAGGGAAAGGUGAAAAGCACUUCGAUGAAGAAGGUUGAAAGAGAUCCUGAACCCAUCCGCCUACAAGCGGUCGGAGCUGCAUUAGCAGUGACGGCGUGCCUUUUGCAUAAUGAACCUACGAGUUACCGUCUCCAGCGAGGAUAAGUGUCAUGAGACACGCAUCCGUAGUGAAAGCGAGCCUGAAGAGGGCGGUUUUGGCUUAUUUUUAGCCAGGGCGCACCUAUCGUGCGUUAAGUUGGAGGUGGUAGACGCGAAACCAAGUGAUCUACACAUGUCCAGGAUGAAGUCAGGGUAACACCUGAUGGAGGUCCGCACCAAUAAGCGUUGAAAAGCUUCUGGAUGAGGUGUGUGUAGGAGUGAAAGGCCAAUCAAACUUGGAGAUAGCUCGUACUCCCCGAAAGGCAUUUAGGUGCCGCGUGUGGAGAUAAGACAAAGAGGUAGAGCGACCGAUAGGACGCGAGGGCUUCACCGCCUGUCAAGUCCUUCCGAACUCCGAAUGCUUUGUUUCUGCAUCCAUGCAGUAAGGGGGCGGGUGCUAAGGUCCGUCCCCGAGAGGAGAAGAAUCCGGACCGCCGUCUAAGGCCCCGAAGUUUCCGCCGAGUCAGUCUAACGAAGUCCAGUCCCGGUGACAGCCAGGAAGUUGGCUUGGAAGCAGCCAUUCCUUCAAAGAGUGCGUAACAGCUCACUGGUCGAGGGUCAGGGCAUGGAUAAUAAUCGGGUGUAAGCGGGACGCCGAAGGCGCGGGAUAGCAAAUAAUAAAAGUAUCGGUAGGGGAGCAUUCCAAUGUUGUCGAAUGGUGUGCGUGAGCGAUCCUGGAGACAUUGGAAACGCAAAUGUAGGUAUAAGUAACGCUAAGGGGCGUGAGAUUCGCCCCCGCCGCAAGUCUAAGGUUUCCCGGGCAAUGCUGGUCAUCCCGGGGUAAGUCGGGUCCUAAGGAUAAGCCUAAGGGCGCAUCCGAUGGCAGAGACGGUUAAUAUUCCGUCACUUGUCUUACGGGCGAAGUGGAGACGGAGCAGUGGCACGGCCGCGGGGCGACGGAAGUCCCCGUUGAAGAGUGUAGGUGAUGAGAGGUCCAGGCAAAUCCGGACUUUGAGCCGAACUUGAUAGUAUGGAUUCCUCUUCGGUGGAAUCCAAUAGCGCCGGUAAUCAGACUCCCGAGAAAAUCCGCUAAGCCUAACCGUAGGACAACCCGUACCGCAAACCGACACAGGUAGACGGGUAGAGCAUACUGAGGCGUUGAGAGAUUCAUGGUUAAGGAACUAGGCAAACUGACCCUGUAACUUCGGGAUAAAGGGUCCUCAUAGCGAUAUGAGGCGCAGAGAAUAGGUCCAGGCAACUGUUUACCAAAAACACAGGGCUGUGCGAACUCGUAAGAUGAAGUAUACAGCCUGACACCUGCCCGGUGCCGGAAGGUUAAGAGGAGAGCUCAUCCUGCUUUGUCAGGUGAAGGUUUGAAUUGAAGCCCCGGUAAACGGCGGCCGUAACUAUAACGGUCCUAAGGUAGCGAAAUUCCUUGUCGGGUAAGUUCCGACCUGCACGAAUGGUGUAAUGAUCCGGACGCUGUCUCAACCAUGAUCUCAGUGAAAUUGUAGUAUCGGUGAAGAUGCCGAUUACCCGCGAUGGGACGAAAAGACCCCGUGAACCUUUACUAUAGCUUAGCACUGACCUUGGUCAUCCGAUGUGUAGGAUAGGCCGGAGGCUGAGAAAGAGCCACGCGAGUGGUUUUGGAGCCAUCCUUGAAAUACGGCCCUUUGGCUGUCUGAGGUCUAACGCGCUUGAAGUGCGGACACUGCUUGGUGGGUAGUUUGACUGGGGUGGUCGCCUCCAAAAGCGUAACGGAGGCUUCCAAAGGUGCCCUCAGACCGAUUGGUAACCGGUUUUAAGGAGUGUAAUGGCAUAAGGGCGCCUGACUGGGAGGCAGACACGCCGAUCAGGCAGGAAACUGGGGCAUAGUGAUCCGGCGGACGUGUAUGGAAACUCCGUCGCUCAAAGGAUAAAAGGUACUCCGGGGAUAACAGGCUGAUCCCCCCAACGAGCUCAUAUCGACGGGGUGGUUUGGCACCUCGAUGUCGGCUCGUCACAUCCUGGGGCUGGAGAAGGUCCCAAGGGUUGGGCUGUUCGCCCAUUAAAGUGGCACGCGAGCUGGGUUCAGAACGUCGUGAGACAGUUCGGUCUCUAUCUAUCGUGGGCGCAGGAGUUUUGAGUGGUUCCGUCACUAGUACGAGAGGACCGUGACGGACGGACCUCCGGUUUACCUGUUGUGCCGCCAGGCGCAUGGCAGGGUAUCUGCGUCCGGAUGGGAUAAGCGCUGAAAGCAUCUAAGCGCGAAGCCCACCGCGAGAUGAGAGCUCCAUAGAGGGUCGUCGCAGACGACGACGUUGAUAGGCGGCAGGUGUAAAGACAGCGAUGUCAAAGCCGAGCCGUACUAAUUGCCCGAUAUCUUUCGAAU